This 86-nucleotide transfer RNA is filed under the name Paracoccus zhejiangensis. RNAcentral's name for it is "tRNA-Ala". It matches the Rfam family "tRNA". From Rfam's summary of the family: Transfer RNA (tRNA) molecules are approximately 80 nucleotides in length. Their secondary structure includes four short double-helical elements and three loops (D, anti-codon, and T loops). Lineage: Bacteria; Pseudomonadati; Pseudomonadota; Alphaproteobacteria; Rhodobacterales; Paracoccaceae. The record is from RNAcentral.
GCCUGCGUGGCGAAACGGUAAACGCAUCCGCUUUGCAAGCGGACUCCCUGGUCGGAUUGCGGGUUCGAAUCCCGCCGCAGGCACCA